UGAGUACAAGAUGCUACGGCAUUGAAGCAGUCUAUGUCAUACUUCCAAGAAAAGCUUGCAAUGUCAUAAACAAAUAAUGCCUGUACCAUAACCGACACAGGUGGGUAGGUAGAGUAUACUAAGGGGCGCGAGAUAACUCUCUCUAAGGAACUCGGCAAAAUGACUCCGUAACUUCGGGAGAAGGAGUACCUUAUUUUAUAAGGUUGCAAUAACAAGGUCCAAGCAACUGUUUACCAAAAACACAGGUCUCCGCUAAGUCGUAAGACGAUGUAUGGGGGCUGACGCCUGCCCAGUGCCAGAAGGUUAAAGAAGUUGGUUAGCAUUAGCGAAGCUGAUAACUGAAGCCCUGGUGAACGGCGGCCGUAACGAUAACGGUCCUAAGGUAGCGAAAUUCCUUGUCGGGUAAGUUCCGACCCGCACGAAAGGCGUAAUGAUUUGGAUACUGUCUCGGAGAGGGGCUCGGUGAAAUAGACUUGUCUGUGAAGAUGCGGACUACCUGCACCUGGACAGAAAGACCCUAUGAAGCUUUACUGUAACAUGAGAUUGAAAUUGGACUUUAUUUGCGCAGUAUAGGUGGGAGACCUCGAAAGUAUUCUUGCGGGAAUAUUGGAGUCAUCAGUGAGAUACCACUCUUAUAAUGUUAGAUUUCUAACUUUGUAUCAUUAUCUGGUCAAAGAACAGUUUCAGGCGGGCAGUUUGACUGGGGCGGUCGCCUCCCAAAUGGUAACGGAGGCGCACAAAGGUUUCCUCUGAACGUGUAGAAAUCGUAUCUAGAGUGUAAAGGCAUAAGGAAGCUUGACUGUGAGACCUACAAGUCGAGCAGGGACGAAAGUCGGUCUUAGUGAUCUGACGGUGCUGAGUGGAAAGGCCGUCACUCAACGGAUAAAAGUUACUCUAAGGAUAACAGGCUGAUCUCCCCCAAGAGUUCACAUCGACGGGGAGGUUUGGCACCUCGAUGUCGGCUCAUCGCAUCCUGGGGCGGUAGUACGUCCCAAGGGUUGGGCUGUUCGCCCAUGAAAGCGGUACGCGAGCUGGGUUCAGAACGUCGUGAGACAGUUCGGUCCAUAUCCGGUGUAGGCGUUAGAAUAUUGAGAGGAGCCUUCUUUAGUACGAGAGGACCGAGAAGGACAUACCUCUGGUGUACCAGUUAUCGUGCCAACGGUAAACGCUGGGUAGCUAUGUAUGGAGAGGAUAACCGCUGAAAGCAUCUAAGUGGGAAGCCCACCUCAAGAUAAGUA
RNAcentral lists this ribosomal RNA (1238 nucleotides) under metagenome. Its description in RNAcentral is "bacterial LSU rRNA". It matches the Rfam family "Bacterial large subunit ribosomal RNA", at positions 1564 to 2810 of the family's 2925-position model. The record is from RNAcentral.